RNAcentral lists this microRNA precursor (60 nucleotides) under Mus pahari (shrew mouse). RNAcentral's name for it is "microRNA 7084 (MGP_PahariEiJ_G0006658.1)". The record is from RNAcentral. Lineage: Eukaryota; Metazoa; Chordata; Mammalia; Rodentia; Muridae.
GCUUCUAGAGGAUAGUGGCCAGCUGCUGCCAGCCUCUGACCCCUGUCCUCUGCACCGCAG